RNAcentral lists this long non-coding RNA (12122 nucleotides) under Triticum aestivum (bread wheat). RNAcentral describes it as "long non-coding RNA (TAES_LNC003317)". Lineage: Eukaryota; Viridiplantae; Streptophyta; Magnoliopsida; Poales; Poaceae. The record is from RNAcentral.
GGCGUGGUGCUCGCCGGGGAAGGCGUCAUCCAGGUGGUCUUCCCGAACGGGUCUCUUGCGAUGAGCGCGGUGGUGCGUGCCGGCGACGUGUUCUGGAUCCCACGCCACUUCCCGUUCGUCCAGGUGGCGUCACGGGGCGGGCCGUUCGUGUUCUUCGGGUUCACCACGUCGGCGCGGCGGAACAAGCCGCAGUUCCUGACAGGCCCCACCUCUGUCUUCCGCAUGAUGCUCGGGCCGGAGCUCGCGGCCGGGUUGGGCGUCCCUGAGAAUGAGAAGGAAUUGAGGGAGGUGGUGGAGGCCCAGACGGUGGCGGUGAUCGAGCCGCCGUUGCCGGAGAAGGAGAAGGGGCGGAAGGAGAGGGAACCGUUUGUUAUGAAGCAAGUGGCGAGGGAGUGACCGCACGCGCGGCGAGCCAUCUGCUUAAUGCUUUAUUGAGCGGAUGAUCGAUCUUACCUGUGUUCUUCUGGUCGAAACUUCUGUACAUCAUGCGCGUGUUUGCGCCGUGUGUUUCAGUGUUUGUGUCGCUAGUGUGUGUGUGUUGUGUUCUAGUACGUGUUUGUUCAUGUGAGUUCUGGCGUCGUCAAUAAAUAAAGAUGCAUGUCAAAUUCAGCUGUGGGCUAGACAUAUAGUAUAAAAACAAUACAUAAAUCCAGUGAGUCUCUCUAUCCAUCAAUUACAAGUUGCAAACAAUGUACAACCUCGCCACCGAAUCAUUCAUCACUACUGGAUGCAUGAUGCCGAUGCUCCUGUCCCAACCGAUAUGAAAGUGCAAGACAAUAGGUUUUGGGGGAACCGACACAACUCUCUAGGGGUGGCCUAUCACAUAUAUAUAUAUAUAUAUAUAUAUAUAUAUAUAUAUAUAUAUAUAUAUAUAUAUAUAUAAUGAGGUGGUAUACAACGUUACAAUAUACACAUGUAAAUACAGUCUAACACCCUCCCUUAAUCUUAGCCACUUUCUAAUGAAUCUAGAAGGGUAAGAUUGCGCCUGCAAGUCUCAAACUGUGGGAAAGGCAAUGGCUUGGUGAAGAUGUCAGCAAGUUGAUCCUUGGAGGAAAUAAACUUGAUCUGUAGUUGCUUCUGAGAGACACGUUCACGCACAAAGUGAUAGUCAACUUCAAUGUGUUUCGUUCGGGCAUGGAAUACCGGAUUUGCAGAAAGGUAUGUAGCACCGAUGUUAUCACACCAAAGAACAGGAGGCUGUGAUUGGAAUAUACUUAACUCCUGAAGCAAGGACUGUACCCAGAUGAUCUCUGAUGUGGCAUUGGCCAUAGCCUUAUACUCAGCCUCAGUACUGCUACGCGAGACAGUAGCCUGUUUUCGAGCACUCCAGGCAAUCAGGUUAGAGCCAAAGAAGACAGCAUAACCCCCCGUGGAUCGCCUGUCAUCCGGAUUGCCAGCCCAGUCUGCAUCAGAAUAUGCUGAAAGACAACCAGAGUCAGACGGCCGAAUAUGCAAACCAUGAGCCACCGUGAAACGAAUAUAGCGCAAAAUCCGCUUAACAGCAGACCAAUGAGUGUCACGGGGUGACUGCAGAUACUGGCAGACUCGGUUAACAGCAUAGGAAAUGUCCGGUCGCGUGAUUGUCAAGUACUGGAGCCCACCAACAAUACUCCUAUACUCUGUCGCAUCAGAAGAAGAAAGAAGCACACCAUCAACAACAUUGAGCUUAUCAGUGGUAGACAUGGGUGUAGUCGUCGGUUUGCACUUAAGCAUCCCAGCUCGCUGCAACAAAUCCAGAGAGUACUUCUUCUGCGUCAUAACAAGGCCAGCAGCACGAGAAAUAACCUCCACACCAAGAAAGUAAUGAAGCUUCCCAAGGUCCUUGACCGCAAAAUCAGCACCAAGUGAGUGAACAAGCGCAGUAGCAGCCGACUGAGAGGAGAUGACCAAAAUGAUAUCAUCUACAUAGACCAACAAGUACAUAGUAACCUCAGGCCUUUGAAGAAGAAACAAUGAGGAGUCAGCAGUUGAUGAUGCAAAACCAUGAGCACGAAGAGCCAUUGCAAGACGAGCAUGCCAAGCACGAGGAGCCUGCUUCAGACCAUAAAUUGCCUUGGACAGACGACAGAGAUGAUCAGGGCGAUCCGGAUCAGAGAAACCCGGAGGCUGGCGCAUGUAAACCUCCUCCGCCAAGACACCAUGAAGAAAAGCAUUUUGAACAUCAAGCUGACGAAGAAACCAACCUCGAGUAACAGCCAGAGAGAGAAGAAGUCUGAUGGUAGUAGGCUUGACCACUGGACUGAAGGUGUCUUCAUAGUCAAGUUCAAAACGCUGUCGAAAACCACGAGCAACCAGACGAGCCUUAUAGCGCUCAAUGGACCCAUCAGAAUGCCUCUUCACUUUGAAAACCCAUUUGCAAUCAAUGACAUUUAUCCGUGAUUGUGGAGGAACAAGAGUCCAUGUCUGAUUGCGAAGAAGCGCUUGAUACUCCUGCUCCAUGGCCUCUCUCCAAUGAGGAAUGCGCAUAGCAGCUUGAUACGUGCGUGGCUCAGAGGAUGGAUCUGCGAGAGCAGCAGACAUGCACGCCGCUAACCAAGCAACUGUGCCAUCGUGACGUUGCUUAGGCUGAAAAAUGCCACUCCGACUGCGCGUAUGUGGACGUAGAGCAGCAGCAGGAGCCGGCGGAGGCGAAGGUGACGGAGACGUGACGGUCGCCGGAGAUGCAGGAAUCACCUCAGGCGAGCUCGGGACAGACGACUCCAGGCUGCAUGGCGAAGACUGGCCCGACGACAGGGGCUCAGAGGCCAUGGGCGAACCGAGAGUGGGCGAGGCCAGCUCCGGUGACACCGGCCCAGACGGCCUUGGCGAGGCGAGAGCAGGCGAGGCCGGCCCUGGUGAGAAGGGCCCAGACACCCUGGGCGAGGCAGGGGCGGGCGAGGCCAGGCCUGGUGAUGACUGCCCCGACGCCCUGGGCGAGACGGGGACCGAGGAGGCCGGCCCAGUCGGCGGGGUUGCAGGGCGCGACGAUGGCGAAGGCAGCCCAGAAGCCAGAGGCGACCGGGCCAGGACGUCGAUCGGCCGUGCAUGAGCACGGAAACCGAGGCCAUGCAGGGGCGCCAUGUGCUCCUCAUGCACAACAGAAGGUGCCGAGGAUGAAGGCGAUGGCGACGAAGAGGAAGAUGGCACUUCCAGAAUCUCCAAACGAGCCCCACGACCAGUGCCUGCACCAUGGUUAGGCAACAAUAGAGGAGAAUAUGCAACAUCAUCAAAUUGGUCAGAAGCAACAGAGGAUGAAUGCAUGACAGGUGGCUCGGUAGUGGACACAGGGAGUUUGACAAAGGGAAAAACAUGCUCAUCAAACACAACAUCCCGAGAGAUGUAGACACGAUUAGUGGGCACAUGAAGACAUUUGUAUCCUUUAUGAAGAGAGCUAUAACCAAGAAAAACACACUUCUUGGAACGAAACUCGAGCUUACGCUUGUUAUAUGGACGGAGAUGGGGCCAGCAAGCACACCCAAACACCUUGAGAAAGGUGUAGUCCGGUUGUUCAUUAAGGAGAACUUCAAUGGGAGUCUUCAUAUUCAAAACACGAGUGGGAGUACGAUUGAUGAGAAAACAUGCAGUGGUGAAAGCAUCACUCCAAAAACGAAGCGGAACAGAUGCAUGGGCCAAAAGAGUCAGACCAGCUUCAACAAUGUGACGAUGCUUACGUUCUACUGAACCAUUCUGCUGAUGUGUAUGUGGACAUGCUAAACGGUGAGUGAUCCCAAGCGACUGAAAGAAGGAGUUGAGGUUGCGAUACUCGCCACCCCAGUCCGACUGAACAUGAACAAUUUUGUGCUUGAGAAGGCGUUCAACAUGUUUUUGGAACUGAACAAAAAUGUCAAACACAUCAGAUUUACGUUUGAUAAGAUAAAGCCAGGUAAAGCGGCUGUAAGCAUCAACAAAACUGAUAUAGUAAUUAUGACCACUAACAGAAGUCUGAGCAGGACCCCAUGCAUCUGAAAACACAAGUUCUAAAGGAUGUUUCACCUCACGACUGGACUCUGAAAAAGGAAGUUGAUGACUCUUCCCCUGCUGACAAGCAUCACACACUGCUACAUCUUUAUUACUAGACACACUAGGAAGCUCAUGACGACGCAAAACAUGCCGGACAAUAGGUGUGGCCGGGUGACCAAGACGAGCAUGCCACUGUGACGGAGAUACCCGAACUCCACUGAAGACGCGAGCGACGCCAGGAUGCUCUAGACCAUAGAGACCUUGGCAGAGCCGCCCACUAAGAAGAAUGUCCCUCGUGCCCCGAUCCUUAAUAAAAAGAUCAAAAGGAUGAAAUUCACAAAGCACAUUAUUAUCACGAGUGAGUUUAGGAACUGAAAGAAGAUUACGUGUCACAGAUGGAACUCGAAGAACAUUGCGAAGUUGAAGACUCCUAUUGGCAUGUCUAGUGAGAAGUGAUGCUUGACCAAUAUGAGAGAUGUGCAUACCUACUCCAUUGGCGGUGUGGAUCUUGUCGGAGCCAUGGUAGGGUUCACGAGUGUGAAGCUUCCCCAUCUCACUGGUCAGGUGCUCUGUCGCCCCAGAGUCCAUGUACCAGUGGGGAUCAAUGGAGUAGGACUGAGUGUGUCCCUGUGGUUUCUGCGGUGGCGGACGAUCAGCCAUGGCGAUGUGACGAGCAAAGUUGCGUGUAUCCUUCCCGUCAUUGCCGAGACCAAGAAAACCCCGCUGGAAGCGCUUGUGACACUUCGAGGCCCAGUGCCCAUCGCGACCACAAAGCUGGCACACACGUGGACCACCAGCCCCUGGUAGCGUCGCAGUAGGAGGAGGGGCCGAGGCGGGUGGUGGUGACUGCCCCGAAGGAGCCCUGGAUGAAGCAGAGGAGCGACCACCCUUGGUGGCGGCGUUUGCCGAGAGGGCGCCGUUGCCCCUGGAUCGGCGCGUCUCGACUCGUUGCUCAGUAAGCAGGAGGCGUGAAAAGACCUCGUGUGCUGGCAUGGGCGUGGAGUUGCCCCUCUCAUUGAUGAUCUCGACUAGGGCGUCAUACUCCUCAUCAAGACCAUUGACAAUAAACGAGUUGAACUCGGAGUCGCUGAGGGGCUGUCCAAUGGAGGCCAGCGUGUCGGCGAGACUCUUGACUUUGUUGUAGAACUCAGUGGCGGUGGAGUCAAGUUUCUGACACUCCCCAAGUUGGCGACGGAGCCCAGAUACACGAGCCUGCGACUGUGCCGCAAACGAGUGCUCAAGAAUAGUCCAUGCCUCGUGGGACGUCUUGGCGAAGACAACAAGCCCAACAACGGCCGGAGAGAGCGACCCCUGGAUGGAGGAGAGGUUCGCCUGAUCCUGUCCUGUCCAGACACGGUGAGCCGGAUUAUAGACCGGACCGUGCACGCUGUCAACCAGCGCAGGAGGGCAAGGGAGAGAGCCGUCGACAUAGCCAAGCAGAUAGUGACUCCCAAGAAGCGGAAGAACCUGCGCGCGCCAGAAGAUGUAAUUGUCCGACGACAACUUGAUGGUGAUGAGAUGGCCGAAGUGAAACGGCGGCGGCGGCUGAGAUCCCAUCGAGGAGACUGGCUGAGGUGAGACCACCGUGGAGACAGUCAGAGGGGCAGCCGGCGCAGUGACAGAGGGCGCGGUGACAGAGGGCGCGAUGGCCGCGGUUGACGCCGCGAAGCCUGCCAGCGCGACGUCCUUCGCCUGUUGGGGAACGUUGCAGAAAAUUAAAAUUUUUCCUACGGUUUCACCAAGAUCCAUCUAUGAGUUCAUCUAAGCAACGAGUCAAGGGAGAGAGUUUGCAUCUACAUACCACUUGUAGAUCGCGUGCGGAAGCUUGCAAGGUGAUGAUGGAGUCGUACUCGACGUGAUUCGAAUCACCGAUGACCAAGUGCUGAAUGGACAGCACCUCCGCGUUCAACACACGCACGGGACGGGAGACGUCUCCUCCUUCUUGAUCCAGCAAGGAGAAGGAGAGGUUGAGGAAGACAGCUCCACCGGCAGCACGACGGCGUGGUGAUGAUGGAGAGGCAGUACUCCGACAGGGCUUCGCCAAGCACACAACGGAGGAGGAGAGGUGUUGGGGAGGGGAGGGCUGCGCCUUGGAGGGUGGUUCGGCUGCCCUCCCCUCACCCCUCUAUAUAUAGGGGGAAGGGAGAAGGGGGCCGGCCCCCUAGAACCCAUCUAGGGGGUGCGGCGGCCAAGGGGAGAGGGGGAGAGGGUGGCUUGCCCCCCAAGCCAAGGGGGCGCCCCCUCUAGGGUUCCCCCUCAACCCUAGGCGCAAGGGCCCAAGGGAGGGGGUGCGCGCAGCCCACCAGGGGCUGUCUCCCUGCCCCAUGCAGCCCAUGUGGCCCCCCGGGAGGGGUGGCCCCUCCCGGUGGACCCCCGGAACCCUUCCGGUGGCCCCGGUACACUACCGGUAUGACCCCGAAACUUCCCUAUGUCCGUUUGACAACUUCCCAUAUAUAAAUCUUUACCUCCGGACCAUUCCGGAGCUCCUCGUGACGUCCGGGAUCCCAUCCGGGACUCCGAAUGACAUUCGGUAGUCACAUACUAGUCUUCCUAAUAACCCUAGCGUUACCGAACCUUAAGUGUGUAGACCCUACGGGUUCGGGAGACAUGCAGACAUGACCGAGACGCUCUCAGGUCAAUAACCAACAGCAGGAUCUGGAUACCCAUGAUGGCUCCCACAUGCUCCUCGAUGUUGUCAUCGGAUGAACCACGAUGUCGAGGAUUCGAUCAAACCCUGUAUACAAUUCCCUUUGUCAAUCGAUACGUUACUUGCCCGAGACUCGAUCGUCAGUAUCCCAAUACCUUGUUCAGUCUCGUUACCGGCAAGUCACUUUACUCGUACCGUAAUGCAUGAUCCCGUGUCCAACACCUUGGUCACAUUGAGCUCAUUAUGAUGAUGCAUUACCGAGUGGGCCUAGAGAUACCUCUCCGUCAUACGGAGUGAAAAAUCCCAGUCUCGAUCCGUGUCAACCCAACAGAUACUUUCGGAGAUACCUGUAAUGCACCUUUAUAGUCACCUAGUUACGUUGUGACGUUUGAUACACCCAAGGCACUCUUACGGUAUCCGGGAGUUACACGAUCUCAUGGUCGAAGGAAGAGAUACUUGACAUUAGCAAAGCUCUAGCAAUACGAACUACACGAUCUUUUAUGCUAUGCUUAGGAUUGGGUCUUGUCCAUCACAUCAUUCUCCUAAUGAUGCGAUCCCGUUAUCAACGACAUCCAAUGUCCAUAGUCAGGAAACCAUGACUAUCUGUUGAUCACAACGAGCUAGUCAACUAGAGGCUCACCAGGGACAUAUUGUGGUCUAAGUAUUCACACGUGCAUUACGAUUUCCGGAUAAUACAGUUAUAGCAUGAAUAAAAGACAUUUAUCAUGAACAUUGAAAUAUAAUAAUACUUUUAUUAUUGCCUCUAGGGCAUAUUUCCAACAGUCUCCCACUUGCACUAGAGUCACCAAUCUAGUUACAUUGUGAUGAAUCGAACACCCAUAGAGUUCUGGUGCUGAUCAUGUUUUGCACGCGAGAGAGGUUUAGUCAGCGGAUCUGCGACAUUCAGAUCUGUGUGCACUUUGCAAAUUUCUAUGUCUCCAUCUUGAACAUUUUCACGGAUAGAGUUGAAACGACGCUUGAUGUGCCUGGUCUUCUUGUGAAACCUUGGCUCCUUGGCGAGGGCAAUAGCUCCAGUGUUGUCACAGAAGAGUUUGAUCGGCCCCGACGCAUUGGGUAUGACUCCUAGGUCGGUGAUGAACUCCUUCAUCCAAAUCGCUUCAUGCGCUGCCUCCGAGGCUGCCAUGUACUCCGCUUCACACGUAGAUCCCGCCACGACGCUCUGCUUGCAGCUGCACCAGCUUACUGCUCCAUCAUUCAACAUAUACACGUAUCCGGUUUGUGACUUAGAGUCAUCCAGAUCUGAGUCGAAGCUAGCGUCGACGUAACCCUUUAGGACGAGCUCUUCGUCUCCUCCAUAAACGAGAAACAUGUCCUUCGUCCUUUUCAGGUACUUCAGGAUAUUCUUGACCGCUGUCCAGUGUUCCUUGCCGGGAUUACUUUGGUAUCUUGCUACCAAACUUACGGCAAGGUUUACAUCGGGUCUGGUACACAGCAUGGCAUACAUAAUAGAUCCUAUGGCUGAAGCAUAGGGGAUGACACUCAUCUCUUCUUUAUCUUUUGCCGUGCUCGGUGACUGAGCCGAGCUCAGUCUCACACCUUGUAACAUAGGCAAGAACCCCUUCUUGGACUGAUCCAUUUUGAACCUCUUCAAAAUCUUAUCAAGGUAUGUGCUUUGUGAAAGACCUAUGAGGCGUCUCGAUCUAUCUCUAUAGAUUUUGAUGCCUAAUAUAUAAGCAGCUUCUCCAAGGUCCUUCAUUGAAAAACACUUAUUCAAGUAGGCCUUAAUGUUGUCCAGAAAUUCUAUAUUAUUUCCCAUCAAGAGUAUGUCAUCUACAUAUAAUAUGAGAAAUGCUACAGAGCUCCCACUCACUUUCUUGUAAACGCAGGCUUCUCCAUAAGUCUGCACAAACCCAAACGCUUUGAUCAUCUCAUCAAAGCGAAUGUUCCAACUCCGAGAUGCUUGCACCAGUCCAUAAAUGGAUCGCUGGAGCUUGCAUACUUUGUUAGCGUUCCGAGGAUCGACAAAACCUUCCGGCUGUAUCAUAUACAGUUCUUCCUUAAGAUGCCCGUUAAGGAAUGCUGUUUUGACGUCCAUCUGCCAUAUCUCAUAAUCGUAGUAUGCGGCAAUUGCUAACAUGAUUCGGACGGACUUCAGCUUCGCUACGGGAUAGAAAGUCUCGUCGUAGUCAAUCCCUUGAACUUGUCGAUAACCCUUAGCGACAAGUCGAGCCUUAUAGAUUUUAACAUUACCAUCCGCGUUCGUCUUCUUCUUAAAAAUCUAUUUGUUUUCUAUCGCUCGCCGAUCAUCGGGCAAGUCUGUCAAAGUCCAUACUUUGUUUUCAUACAUGGAUUCUAUCUCGGAUUUUAUGGCUUCAAGCCAUUUGUUGGAAUCCGGGCCCGCCAUCGCUUCUUCAUAGUUCGAAGGUUAUUGUUGUCUAACAACAUGAUUUCCAGGACAGGGUUGCCGUACCACUCUGGUGCGGAACGUGUCCUUGUGGACCUACGAAGUUCAGUAGUAACUUGAUCCGAAGUACCUUCAUCAUCAUCAUUGUUUUCCUCUUUAGUUGGUGUGGGCAUCACAGGAACGGUUUCCUGCGUUGCGCCACUUUCCCGCUCAAGAGGUAGUACUUCAUCGAGUUCUACUUUCCUCCCACUUACUUCUUUCGAGAGAAACUCUUUUUCCAGAAAGUAUCCGUUCUUGGCAACAAAGAUCUUGCCUUCGGAUCUUAAGUAGAAGGUAUACCCGACAGUUUCCUUAGGGUAUCCUAUGAAUACGUAUUUUUCUGACUUGGGUUCGAGCUUUUCAGGUUGAAGUUUCUUGACAUAAGCAUCGCAUCCCCAAACUUUUAGAAACGACAGCUUAGGUUUCUUUCCAAACCAUAAUUCAUACGGUGUCGUCUCAACGGAUUUAGACGGUGCCCUAUUUAAAGUGAAUGUAGCUGUCUCUAGAGCGUAUCCCCAAAAUGACAGCGGUAAAUCGGUAAGAGACAUCAUAGACCGCACCAUAUCCAAUAGAGUGCGAUUACGACGUUCGGACACACCGUUUCGCUAAGGUGUUCCAGGCAGCGUGAGCUGUGAAACGAUUCCACAUUUCCUUAAGUGUGUACCAAAUUCGUGACUUAAGUAUUCUCCUCCACGAUCUGAUCGUAAGAAUUUUAUCUUUCGGUCACAUUGAUUCUCUACCUCAUUCUGAAAUUCUUUGAACUUUUGAAAGGUCUCAGACUUGUGUUUCAUUAAGUAGACAUACCCAUAUCUACUCAAGUCAUUAGUGAGAGUGAGAACAUAACGAUAUCCUCCGCGAGCCUCAACGCUCAUUGUACCGCACACAUCGGUAUGUAUGAUUUCCAACAAGUUGGUUGCUCGCUCCAUUGUUCCGGAGAACGGAGUCUUGGUCAUUUUGCCCAAGAGGCAUGGUUCGCACGUGUCAAACGAUUCAUAAUCAAGAGACUCUAAAAGUCCAUCGGCAUGGAGCUUCUUCAUGCGCUUGAUACUAAUGUGACCAAGGCGGCAGUGCCACAAGUAUGUGGGACUAUCGUUAUCAACUUUAAAUCUUUUGGCAUCUACACUAUGCACAUGUGUAAUAUUACGCUCGAGAUUCAUUAAGAAUAAACCAUUGACCAUCGGAGCAUGACCAUAAAACAUAUCUCUCAUAUAAAUCGAACAACCAUUAUUCUCAGACUUAAAUGAGUAGCCAUCUCGUAUUAAACGAGAUCCAGAUACAAUGUUCAUGCUCAAACUUGGCACUAAAUAACAAUUAUUAAGGUUCAAAACUAAUCCCGUAGGUAAAUGUAGAGGUAGCGUGCCGACGGCGAUCACAUCGACUCUGGAACCAUUCCCGACGCGCAUCGUCACCUCGUCCUUCGCCAGUCUCCGUUUAUUCCGCAGCUCCUGCUGUGAGUUACAAAUAUGAGCAACGGCACCGGUAUCAAAUACCCAGGAGUUACUACGAGUACUGGUAAGGUACACAUCAAUCACAUGUAUAUCAAAAAUACCUUUGGUGUUGCCGGCCUUCUUAUCCGCUAAGUAUUUGGGGCAGUUCCGCUUCCAGUGACCCUUCCCCUUGCAAUAAAAGCACUCAGUCUCAGGCUUAGGUCCAUUCUUUGACUUCUUCCCGGUAACUGGCUUACCAGGCGCGGCAACCUCCUUGCCGUCCUUCUUGAAGUUCUUCUUACCCUUUCCCUUUUUGAACUUAGUGGUCUUAUUGACCAUCAACACUUGAUGUUCUUUCUUGAUUUCAGCCUCUGCUGACUUCAGCAUCGAGAACACUUCAGGAAUGGUCUUUUCCAUCCCCUGCAUGUUGUAGUUCAUCACAAAGCUCUUGUAGCUUGGUGGGAGCGACUGGAGGAUUCUGUCAAUGACCGCCUCAUCUGGGAGGUUAAUGUUCAGCUGGGUCAUACGGUUGUGCAACCCAGACAUCUUCAGGAUGUGCUCACUGACAGAACUGUUUUCCUCCAUCUUACAACUGUAGAACUUGUCAGAGACAUCAUAUCUCUCGACCCGGGCAUGAGCUUGAAAAACUAGUUUCAGCUCUUCGAACAUCUCAUAUGCUCCGUGGUGCUCAAAACGCUUUUGGAGCCCCGGUUCUAAGCUGUAAAGCAUGCCGCACUGAACGAGGGAGUAAUCAUCAGCACGAGACUGCCAAGCAUUCAUAAUGUCUUGGUUCUCUGGGACGGGAGCGUCACCUAGCGGUCCUUCUAGGACAUAUUGUUUCCUGGCAGCUAUGAGGAUGAUCCUCAGGUUCCGGACCCAGUCCGUAUAGUUGCUGCCAUCAUCUUUCAGCUUGGUUUUCUCUAGGAACGCGUUGAAGUUCAUGUUGACAUUAGCGUUGGCCAUUGAUCUACAAGACAUAUUUGCAAAGGUUUUAGACUAAGUUCAUGAUAACAAAGUUCUAAUCAAAUUAUGAACUCCCACUUAGAUUAGACAUCCCUCUAGUCAUCUAAGUGUUACACGAUCCGAGUCGACUAGCCCGUGUCCGAUCAUCACGUGAGACGGACUAGUCAUCGUCGGUGAACAUUCUCAUGUUGAUCGUAUCUUCCAUAUGAUUCGUGUUCGACCUUUCGGUCUCCGUGUUCCGAGGCCAUGUCUGCACAUGCUAGGCUCAUCAAGUUAACCCUAAGUGUUUUUGCUGUGUAAAACUGUCUUACACCUGUUGUAUGUGAACGUAAGAAUCCAUCACACCCGAUCAUCACGUGGUGCUUAGAAGCGACGAACUGUAGCAACGGUGCACAGUUAGGGGAGAACACUUCUUGAAAUUUUUAUAAGGGAUCAUCUUAUUUACUACCGUCGUCCUAAGUAAACAAGAUGCAUAAACAUAAUAAACAUCACAUGCAAUUAUGUAGUUGUGACAUGAUAUGGCCAAUAUCAUAUAGCUCCAUUGAUCUUCAUCUUCGGGGCUCCAUGAUCAUCUUGUCACCGGCUUGACACCAUGAUCUCCAUCAUCAUGAUCUCCAUCAUCGUGUCUUCAUGAAGUUGUCACGCCAACGACUACUUCUACUUCUAUGACUAACGUUUAGCAAUAAAGUAAAGUAGUUUACAUGGCGUUAUUCAAUGACACGCAGGUCAUACAAAAAAUAAA